Molecule: ribosomal RNA, 462 nt
Filed under: uncultured bacterium
Lineage: Bacteria
Description: partial 16S ribosomal RNA
Rfam family: Bacterial small subunit ribosomal RNA
Source: RNAcentral
CCUACGGGGGGCAGCAGUGAGGAAUAUUGGUCAAUGGACGCAAGUCUGAACCAGCCAAGUAGCGUGCAGGAUGACGGCCCUCCGGGUUGUAAACUGCUUUUAGUUGGGAAUAAAAGGGGGCUCGUGAGCCCCGUAUUGUAUGUACCAUAUGAAUAAGGAUCGGCUAACUCCGUGCCAGCAGCCGCGGUAAUACGGAGGAUCCGAGCGUUAUACGGAUUUAUUGGGUUUAAAGGGAGCGUAGGUGGGAUGUUAAGUCAGUUGUGAAAGUUUGCGGCUUAACCGUAAAAUUGCAGUUGAAACUGGCAGUCUUGAGUACAGUAGAGGUGGGCGGAAUUCGUGGUGUAGCGGUGAAAUGCUUAGAUAUCACGAAGAACUCCGAUUGCGAAGGCAGCUCACUGGACUGCAACUGACACUGAUGCUCGAAAGUGUGGGUAUCAAACAGGAUUAGAUACCCCUGUAGUC